Molecule: long non-coding RNA, 527 nt
Organism: Vigna angularis (adzuki bean)
Lineage: Eukaryota; Viridiplantae; Streptophyta; Magnoliopsida; Fabales; Fabaceae
Exons: 3
Source: RefSeq, a predicted model, not a curated record
AAGAGACCUUUCAAAAAUCAGAGUUCCUUAUCUCAACUUUCCAUUCUCUCUCUAAAAGUUCAGCUCUUCUUUUUUCUGCCUUUUCUCUACCAUUCCCUCACAUUCUCUCGUUGCAUGUUGGUCUAGGUGGUGCUCAAGUGAUCGCGGCGCAAAGAGCUUCGCAACCAUCCGAUUAGAUUCUCGUUCUACCGCGGGGUUUGGUUGAGUUCUCUUUGAGUUAGGCGCUGUUGAAUCAAGUUGUGAGCUUAGCUGUGAAACCCUAAGAUGGAUGGGGUGUCUCUGGAGCAAGCCUUGAAGGAAGAUGAUGCUGCUGCUUAAUCUUCUUAGGAUUCUCUUAGUAUUUCUUGUAUUUCGAAAUACUUUAGUAUGUUUAAGUUUUAAUUUUUUUGACUUAUUUUAAGAUGACUGUAAUCCCAUUUAAUCUCGAUUGCUUUCCUAUAUUAUGAAUGAUUACGUCACAUUAUAUAUGUUUCCCAUAUAAUAAGGGAUGUUACACCUAGUAAUAAAAUCCAUCAUGUUGUACAGUA